AUAAAGGCGAUAAGCAGGAGAGUAAACUAGUAAUUUAUGUAUAGAGAUAGGGUGCCAUUGGCUGAGAGCAUCUUUAAAUGGAGCUAGUUGAAAUGCACCUGUAAGCUUUAUGCCUGAACAAUUAGUAGGGGAUAACGAGUGGUAACCGUUAAUUUACCAUUAAGUGAGUCAGAGUAUUCUUCUGAUUAAACAGAGUGGGACCGCGAACCUUUCGCCUCUGUA
RNAcentral lists this non-coding RNA (222 nucleotides) under Selenihalanaerobacter shriftii. Its description in RNAcentral is "T-box sequence". It matches the Rfam family "T-box leader". From Rfam's summary of the family: Uncharged tRNA acts as the effector for transcription antitermination of genes in the T-box leader family. T-boxes are found upstream of many aminoacyl-tRNA synthetase genes and some amino acid biosynthetic genes usually in Gram-positive bacteria. The anticodon of a specific tRNA base pairs to a specifier sequence within the T-box motif, and the NCCA acceptor tail of the tRNA base pairs to a conserved bulge in the T-box antiterminator hairpin. Lineage: Bacteria; Bacillati; Bacillota; Clostridia; Halanaerobiales; Halobacteroidaceae. The record is from RNAcentral.